UCUUAGUGGCGAACGGGUGAGUAACGCGUGAGUAACCUGCCCUAGAGUGGGGGACAACAGUUGGAAACGACUGCUAAUACCGCAUAAGCCCACGGUACCGCAUGGUACUAAGGGAAAAGGAUUUAUUCGCUUUAGGAUGGACUCGCGUCCAAUUAGCUAGUUGGUGAGGUAACGGCCCACCAAGGCGACGAUUGGUAGCCGGACUGAGAGGUUGAACGGCCACAUUGGGACUGAGACACGGCCCAG
This 246-nucleotide ribosomal RNA is filed under the name uncultured bacterium. RNAcentral's name for it is "partial 16S ribosomal RNA". It matches the Rfam family "Bacterial small subunit ribosomal RNA", at positions 90 to 334 of the family's 1533-position model. The record is from RNAcentral.